This 610-nucleotide ribosomal RNA is filed under the name uncultured bacterium. RNAcentral's name for it is "bacterial SSU rRNA". The stretch from base 1 to 542 matches the Rfam family "Bacterial small subunit ribosomal RNA", at positions 338 to 873 of the family's 1533-position model. The record is from RNAcentral.
CCUACGGGAGGCAGCAGUGGGGAAUAUUGGACAAUGGGCGAAAGCCUGAUCCAGCAAUACCGCGUGUGUGAAGAAGGCCUGAGGGUUGUAAAGCACUUUCGUUUGGGAGGAAGAGAUUUACGUUAAUAGCGUAAAUUGAAGACGUUACCAAAAUAAGAAGCACCGGCUAACUCUGUGCCAGCAGCCGCGGUAAUACAGAGGGUGCGAGCGUUAAUCGGAAUUACUGGGCGUAAAGGGUGCGUAGGUUGUUCUGUAAGUCAGAUGUGAAAACCCGGGGCUUAACUCCGGAAGGUCGUUUGAUACUGCAGGGCUAGAGUUUUGAAGAGGACAGUGGAAUUUCCGGUGUAGCGGUGAAAUGCGUAGAUAUCGGAAGGAACAUCAGAGGCGAAGGCGACUGUCUGGUCAAAAACUGACACUGAGGCACGAUAGCGUGGGUAGCAAACAGGAUUAGAUACCCUGGUAGUCCACGCCGUAAACGAUGAGAACUAGCUGUUUGUCCCUUCGGGGAUGGGUAGCGCAGCUAACGCAUUAAGUUCUCCGCCUGGGGAGACGCGCGAGACGAACUACAANAGAGUAGAGCGNGAGAGNGCGAGACGACGACGAGGAGAGG